UACGUAGGGGGCAAGCGUUGUCCGGAAUCAUUGGGCGUAAAGCGCGCGUAGGCGGCCCGGUAAGUCCGCUCUGAAAGUCCAGGGCUCAACCCUGGAAAGCGGGUGGAUACUGCCGGGCUAGAAUCCGGAAGAGGCGAGUGGAAUUCCGGGUGUAGCGGUGGAAUGCGUAGAGAUCCGGAAGAACACCGGUGGCGAAGGCGGCCUGCUGGGACGUGGCUGACGCUGAGGCGCGACAGCGUGGGGAUCAAACAGG
Molecule: ribosomal RNA, 253 nt
Filed under: uncultured bacterium
Lineage: Bacteria
Description: partial 16S ribosomal RNA
Rfam family: Bacterial small subunit ribosomal RNA
Source: RNAcentral